UGUGUAGGCGGCGUUGUAAGUAAGGUGUGAAAUCCUACGGCUUAACCGUAGAAUUGCAUCUUAUACUGCAAUGCUUGAGUGCUGGAGAGGAUAGCGGAAUUCUAGGUGUAGCGGUGAAAUGCAUAGAUAUCUAGGAGAACGCCGGUGACGAAGGUGGCUAUCUGGCCGGCUACUGACGCUGAAACACGAAAGCUAGGGGAGCGAACAGGAUUAGAUACCCUGGUAGUCC
This 229-nucleotide ribosomal RNA is filed under the name uncultured bacterium. Its description in RNAcentral is "partial 16S ribosomal RNA". It matches the Rfam family "Bacterial small subunit ribosomal RNA", at positions 568 to 796 of the family's 1533-position model. The record is from RNAcentral.